This is a non-coding RNA of Chiloscyllium plagiosum (whitespotted bambooshark), 192 nucleotides long. Lineage: Eukaryota; Metazoa; Chordata; Chondrichthyes; Orectolobiformes; Hemiscylliidae. The record is from RefSeq and is a predicted model, not a curated record.
CAGCAAGCCAGGCAGCAUCAGGAGGUGGAGAAGACAACGUUUCGGAUGUAACCCAUCUUCAGGACUAUAUUGUUAAUCUUAGAAAUGAAUAGAAACAGAUGAAUAUAAACCAGCUCAAAGACUUUUUUUUCCUGUUGAAAAGACUGAAACUGCUGCAGAGGCACCUGACUCAGUAUCAUCACCGCUCCCACA